Molecule: non-coding RNA, 26 nt
Filed under: Rattus norvegicus (Norway rat)
Lineage: Eukaryota; Metazoa; Chordata; Mammalia; Rodentia; Muridae
Source: RNAcentral
GGAGGAAUAUAAUUUGAAUUUGCUGC